RNAcentral lists this transfer RNA (18 nucleotides) under Alpinia calcarata. RNAcentral's name for it is "partial tRNA-Leu". RNAcentral also lists the same sequence under 1 other name. The record is from RNAcentral. Lineage: Eukaryota; Viridiplantae; Streptophyta; Magnoliopsida; Zingiberales; Zingiberaceae.
UCAAGUCCCUCUAUCCCC